RNAcentral lists this ribosomal RNA (651 nucleotides) under Glutamicibacter arilaitensis. RNAcentral's name for it is "bacterial SSU rRNA". It matches the Rfam family "Bacterial small subunit ribosomal RNA", at positions 83 to 748 of the family's 1533-position model. Lineage: Bacteria; Bacillati; Actinomycetota; Actinomycetes; Micrococcales; Micrococcaceae. The record is from RNAcentral.
CUGGGUGGAUUAGUGGCGAACGGGUGAGUAACACGUGAGUAACCUGCCCCCGACUUUGGGAUAAGCCCGGGAAACUGGGUCUAAUACCGGAUAUGACUUCCUGCCGCAUGGUGGGUUGUUGAAAGAUUUAUCGGUGGGGGAUGGACUCGCGGCCUAUCAGCUUGUUGGUGAGGUAAUGGCUCACCAAGGCGACGACGGGUAGCCGGCCUGAGAGGGUGACCGGCCACACUGGGACUGAGACACGGCCCAGACUCCUACGGGAGGCAGCAGUGGGGAAUAUUGCACAAUGGGCGGAAGCCUGAUGCAGCGACGCCGCGUGAGGGAUGACGGCCUUCGGGUUGUAAACCUCUUUCAGUAGGGAAGAAGCGAAAGUGACGGUACCUGCAGAAGAAGCGCCGGCUAACUACGUGCCAGCAGCCGCGGUAAUACGUAGGGCGCAAGCGUUAUCCGGAUUUAUUGGGCGUAAAGAGCUCGUAGGCGGUUUGUCGCGUCUGCCGUGAAAGUCCGAGGCUCAACCUCGGAUCUGCGGUGGGUACGGGCAGACUAGAGUGAUGUAGGGGAGACUGGAAUUCCUGGUGUAGCGGUGAAAUGCGCAGAUAUCAGGAGGAACACCGAUGGCGAAGGCAGGUCUCUGGGCAUUUACUGACGCUG